Molecule: non-coding RNA, 62 nt
Organism: Rattus norvegicus (Norway rat)
Lineage: Eukaryota; Metazoa; Chordata; Mammalia; Rodentia; Muridae
Source: Rfam
UAGGGAGGUCAGGGCCAGAAGCCCCCCCCUGAGCCCAGGGUAACGCUUAAAGUUGGGGGGCA